GUCCACGCCGUAAACGAUGGAUGCUCGGUGUCUGGUGGGUAAUCAGUCCCGCUGGGCGCCUCAGCUAACGCGCAAGCAUCCCGCCUGGGAACUACGAGCGCAAGCUUAAAACUCAAAGGAAUUGACGGGGGCCCGCACAAGCAGCGGAGCGUGUGGUUUAAUUCGACGCGACGCGCAGAACCUUACCUAGCCUUGACAUGUGUCUGCAAGCCGCUGAAAGGCGGUCGCCUUCGAGGGUGACACACCGGUGCUGCAUGGCUGUCGU
This 265-nucleotide ribosomal RNA is filed under the name uncultured bacterium. RNAcentral's name for it is "partial 16S ribosomal RNA". It matches the Rfam family "Bacterial small subunit ribosomal RNA", at positions 793 to 1055 of the family's 1533-position model. The record is from RNAcentral.